CAUAUCAAUAAGCGGAGGAAAAGAAACCAACAGGGAUUGCCCUAGUAACGGCGAGUGAAGCGGCAACAGCUCAAAUUUGAAAUCUGGCGUCUUUGGCGUCCGAGUUGUAAUUUGCAGAGGGCGCUUUGGCAUUGGCAGCGGUCCAAGUUCCUUGGAACAGGACGUCACAGAGGGUGAGAAUCCCGUACGUGGUCGCUAGCCUUUACCGUGUAAAGCCCCUUCGACGAGUCGAGUUGUUUGGGAAUGCAGCUCUAAAUGGGAGGUAAAUUUCUUCUAAAGCUAAAUACUGGCCAGAGACCGAUAGCGCACAAGUAGAGUGAUCGAAAGAUGAAAAGCACUUUGGAAAGAGAGUUAAAAAGCACGUGAAAUUGUUGAAAGGGAAGCGCUUGCAGCCAGACUUGCCUGUAGUUGCUCAUCCGGGUUUUUACCCGGUGCACUCUUCUACGGGCAGGCCAGCAUCAGUUUGGGCGGUUGGAUAAAGGUCUCUGUCAUGUACCUCCUCUCGGGGAGAACUUAUAGGGGAGACGACAUGCAACCAGCCCGGACUGAGGUCCGCGCAUCUGCUAGGAUGCUGGCGUAAUGGCUGUAAGCGGCCCGUCUUGAAACACGGACCAAGGAGUCUAACAUCUAUGCGAGUGUUUGGGUGUCAAGCCCGAGCGCGUAAUGAAAGUGAACGGAGGUGGGAACCUUUCGGGGUGCACCAUCGACCGAUCCUGAUGUCUUCGGAUGGAUUUGAGUAAGAGCAUAGCUGUUGGGACCCGAAAGAUGGUGAACUAUGCUUGAAUAGGGUGAAGCCAGAGGAAACUCUGGUGGAGGCUCGCAGCGGUUCUGACGUGCAAAUCGAUCGUCAAAUUUGGGCAUAGGGGCGAAAGACUAAUCGAACUAUCUAGUAGCUGG
Molecule: ribosomal RNA, 897 nt
Filed under: Epicoccum latusicollum
Lineage: Eukaryota; Fungi; Ascomycota; Dothideomycetes; Pleosporales; Didymellaceae
Description: partial large subunit ribosomal RNA
Rfam family: Eukaryotic large subunit ribosomal RNA
Source: RNAcentral